Molecule: long non-coding RNA, 30542 nt
Filed under: Triticum aestivum (bread wheat)
Lineage: Eukaryota; Viridiplantae; Streptophyta; Magnoliopsida; Poales; Poaceae
Description: long non-coding RNA (TAES_LNC025090)
Source: RNAcentral
UUGGAUCUCGACGGCGACGGCAUCCAACGAACACAAGGUCGCUCCCAACCAACAAGUUUUUUUUCUUCCAAGUUAAUAAUGUGGAUUGUGACGUUUAUCUGUGCACUGAUUUUCAGAGUGGAUGGCUGUACCAUUUAAUUUUGAUUACUAGCACUAGUAGUUGCAUUCAGUGUGAGCUGGAAGACUAACUGAUUCAGUUUUCGAUGCCAUCUUUGCUGUUCUGGUUGUGUUUGCACAGCUCACUUGUUGUCAGUGCACUUCUCUUACACAUAUUUGUUUGUUGGGGUUUAAUUUCUAGAAUCAUGUCUCUAAUUGCAUUCGUAAAUUUCUAGCCUUAAUUCUUUUUUUGUUAUGGUCAGCAAGUAUGCCGACGGUCUAACCAUCGGCGUAGCUAUGCGCCAGGCCUGCCCAGCAGCUGACAUGUGGCACUGCUAGGCCGACGGUUAGACCGUCGGCAUAAGUUCUAGAGCUAUGCCGACGGCUUUACCAUCGGGAUACCUGUGCAACGUGUCAGCACAUGGUUGGCUCGGUUUUGACGGCGGAGCCGUUAGGCGGAAAAUUUUGCCGACGGUGCAUGUGUGCCGACGGUGGUACGGACGCCAUCGGCAUAGCGGCCUAUACCGAUGGCUUUGCUAUGCUGACGGCCGCCCUGGGAUAUGCCGACGUACGAGUUGCCGACGGGGCUAUGCCGAUGGUGGCCGUCGGCAUAGGCCUAUGCCGACGGCCCUGGGCCGUCGGCAACGUAGCUUAUUCUGGUAGUGACGGGGCGUCUUUGGAUGUGGAGGAGGUCCGACCAGAGAAGCGGCAUGUUUGAUGUAUCUAAAUAUGUCUUUGUUAACAAUUUUAUUUGGUAACUAUUAUUUAUGUUUGUUACUUCCAUCCUGAUGCCUCCAGACCAAAAUUAACGAGCUUUACAUACUGGUUUGCUCACUUUUCUUUGUAGAGCAGUCCAACUCAUUACCAUCUUAUGUAGUAUCUCUUAUAUUUGUGCCUUGUAUCCUUAGUAGAGCUCAAUCAUUGAUCUGCUUAUAUCUCCCAUCCCCUAGUCUUUGAUCCUUAUGUUUUAAUGGUUCAAAUUCACAUCGGGGAUCAUUACCUUGACCAAUCUCAGUGACACACUCGAGGAAGAUAAAAUUAUGAUGGACCGUAUAGCGUUAGGCAUAAUAUACCAUUGUUUUUCUGUGAUUCCAAAGAUGUUAGCUACUACUCCUUCCGACUAAAGUUGUACUAAACUAACGACAAGUCUCAAAAUCUUAGUUCAAGUUUCAGAACUCAAGAGGUAUCCUAUACUCUUGAAACUUUUAUUAGGAGGUGCUCUCUUUAAAUACAUGCUUUUGCUCUACCCCCUUUUACUAGCAAUUCGAUGGUGCUGCUUGAAUAUUUUGUUCCUAAUGCAUGCAACACAAUACAUCCCUUAUCUGCAUAGAUCUGCUUGUUCUUGAAUCGGUUCAAAUAUUAUGAUGCUGAUUUGGUUCCUUCUACUUCUACAGGUUUGAAUACUAUGGUCAGAUUUUUUCCCCAAGAAUCCACAAGUUUUGCUGGUCUUGAAGAAUGUAUUAAGUUCAUUGCAAACUUAAAGUUCAAAGAAGAUAUGCAAGGAAGGGCGCCGCCUCUCCCUCACCGUCCAUUGUCUCAAGACACGACGUCGUCAGCAGCACCUGCUAUCUAUAUAUAUGAACUACCUAUCAUCUUUAGCUAAUCUCUAGAACAUCGCCAUCAGCAGCACCUGCUAUCUAUAUAUAUGAACUCUACUUUUCUUUGAAGAUCGUUUUUCUUUUGGAGCAUGUUAGUCUUUGAUUUCAAUUCAAUGUUGUGCUCUAUCAUCCACCUUGUAAGAUUGUGACCUACUAUCUUAUAAUAUGCACCUAUUACCUUGCUAUGUCUCUUGAAUGAACACUUUUCUCUAAGUUUUUGUGAUUUGUACCCUGGCCUGCAUAUGCACGUGCACAGCUGCACAGCCAAGGCAAGUGCGCACAAGAACGCACAGGAGGCGCGCCCAGGGCGCGCCCCACCUACUAGUAUGCAAAGAAGAAGAGACGACUAUGCGCUUGUUUGGACUCAAAAUCGAACAGAACCUACCGUGACUUGCCAAACAAGCAACCCCACGACCCCACCCCAUGACUCGUCGGAUCCUUUUGAGCGUAGCCGUUGGAUCCAGUCAACGCAAAACUGGCUGCCACAUCAACGCAGCCCCACACGAGGAGCUCCCCUGAAGCACCCCGAUUCAUUGUCAUCUCCACCACAACAUUGAGAUAAAUGGAUCUUUAAGAAGAAGACGGACGUGGGCGGUAAUUUUACCGUCUAUGAAGCUCGACUUGUGGCAAAAAGGUUUUUCACAAGUUCAAGGAGUUGACUACGAUGAGAUUUUCUCACCCGUAGCGAUGCUUAAGUCUGUCGGAAUCAUGUUAGCAUUAGCUGUAUUUUUCGAUUAUGAAAUCUGACAGAUGGAUGUCAAAACAAGUUUUCUUACCAGUUUUCGUAAGAAAAGUUGUAUGUGAUACAAUAAAAGGUUUUGUCGAUCCUAAGGAUGCUAAAAGGUAUGCUGGCUCCAGCAAUCCUUCUAUGGACUAGAGCAAGUAUCUUGGAAUCGGAAUAUAUGUUUUGAUGGAGUGAUCAAAGCUUUUAGGUUUAUACAAUGUUUGCUAGAAACUUGUAUUUACAAGAAAGUGAGUGGGAGCACUACAACAUUUCUGAUAAGUAUAUGUGGAUGACAUAUUGUUGAUCCGAAAUAAUGUAGAAUUUCUGGAAAGCAUAAAUGGUUGUUUGAAGAGUGUUUUUCAAAGGAAGACCUGGAUAAAGCUGCUUACAUAUUGGGCAUCAAGAUCUAUAGAGAUAGAUCAAAACGCCUGAGGAUACUUUCAAAGAACGCACACCUUGACAUGUUUUUUGAAGGAGUUCAAAAUAGAUCAGUCAAAGAAGGGGUUCUUACCUGAGUUGUAAGGUGUGAAGUUGAGUAAGACUCAAAGAUUGACCACGGCAGAAGAAAGAGGGAGGACGAAGGUCGUCCCCUAUGCUCUUGUCAUAGGCCCUAUACGGUAUGCCAUGCUGAGUACAACACCUGAUGUGCGCCUUGACACAUGUCUGGCAAGAGGGUACAAAGGUGAUCUAGGACUGGAUCGCCAGAUAGCAGUCAAAAUUAUCCUUAGAGGAAUAAGGAAAUGUUUCUCGGUUAUGGAGGUGAUAAAGAGUUCGACAUAAAGAGUUACGUCGAUGCAAGCUUAACACCUGUCCGGAUAGCUCUGAGUAGAGAUACCGGAUACGUAUAAUGGAGCAAUAAUUUGGAAUAGCUCCAAAUAGAACGUGGUAGCAGCAUCUACGAUAUAAAGUUUUGCGAAAUAUAUAGGGAUCUGAAUAUGGCAAGACCCGUUGACUACAACCUCUCUCACAAGCAUAACAUGAUCAAACCCAGAACUCUUUGAGGGUUUAUCACAUAGUGAUGUGAACUAGAUCAUUGAGUCUAGUAGACUCUAGGAUGUUGGUCACAUGGCGAUGUGACCUGUGAGUGUUAAUCACAUGGCGAUGUGAACUAGAUUAUUGACUCUAGUGCAAGUGGGAGACUGUUGAAAAUAUGCCCUGGAGGCAAUAAUAAAUUAGUUAUUAUUAUUAUAUUUCAUUGUUCAUGAUAAUCGUUUAUUAUCCAUACUAGAAUUGUAUUGAUAGGAAACUCAGAUACAUGUGUGGAUACAUAGACAACACCAUGUCCCUAGUAAGCCUCUAGUUGACUAGCUCGUUGAUCAAUAGAUGGUUACGGUUUCCUGACCAUGGACAUUGUAUGUCGUUGAUAAUGGGAUCACAUCAUUAGGAGAAUGACUUGAUGGACAAGACCCAAUCCUAAGCCUAGCACAAGAUCGUGUAGUUCGUUUGCUAAAGCUUUUCUAAUGUCAAGUAUCAUUUCCUUAGACCAUGAGAUUGUGCAAAUCCCGGAUACCGUAGGAGUGCUUUGGGUGUGCCAAACGUCACAACAUAACAGGGUGGCUAUAAAUGUACACUACAGGUAUCUCCGAAAGUAUCUGUUGGGUUGGCACGAAUCGAGACUGGGAUUUCUCACUCCAUGUAAACGGAGAGGUAUCUCUGGGCCCACUCGGUAGGACAUCAUCAUAAUGUGCACAAUGUGACCAAGGAGUUGAUCACGGGAUGAUGUGUUACGGAACGAGUAAAGAGACUUGCCGGUAACGAGAUUGAACAAGGUAUCGGGAUACCGACGAUCGAAUCUCGGGCAAGUAUCGUACCGCUAGACAAAGGGAAUUGUAUACGGAUUGAUUGAAUCCUCGACAUCGUGGUUCAUCCGAUGAGAUCAUCGUGGAGCAUGUGGGAGCCAACAUGGGUAUCCAGAUCCCGCUGUUGGUUAUUGACCGGAGAGUCGUCUCGGUCAUGUCUGCAUGUCUCCCGAACCCGUAGGGUCUACACACUGAAGGUUCGGUGACGCUAGGGUUGUUAGGAAGACUUAUAUGUGAUUACCGAAUGUUGUUCGGAGUCCCGGAUGAGAUCCCGGACGUCACGAAGAGUUCCCGAAUGGUCCGGAGGUGAAGAUUUAUAUGUAGGAAGUUGUCAUACGGUCACCGGAAAGGUUCGGGGGCAUAUCGGUAUUGUACCGGGGCCACCGGAGGGGUUCCGAGGGUCCACCGGGAGGGGCCACCUCUCUCGGAGGGCCUAAUGGGCUGUAGAGGAAAGGGGACCAGCCCUACAUGGGCAGGCCACAGCCCCCCCCCCCCUUGGGCCCAUGCGCCUAGGGUUGGGGGGGAAACCCUAAAGGGGGCGCCCCCCUUGCUUGGGGGGCAAGCCCCCUCCCCUUGGCCGCCCCCCCUCUAGAUCUCAUCUAGAGGGGGCCGGCCCCCUUCCUCCUUACCCUAUAAAUAGAGGGGCAAGGGGAGGGCUGCAUAGAACAUCCAAGGCGCAGCCCCUCCCCUCCCCAACACCUCUCCUCCUCCGUAAGAGCUUGGCGAAGCCCUGCCGGAGUACUGCAGCUUCACCACCACUACGUCGUCGUGCUGCUGUUGGAGUCCUCUUCCUCAACCUCUCCCUCCUCCUUGCUGGAUCAAGGCGCGGGAGACGUCCUCGCUCCGUACGUGUGUUGAAGGCGGAGGUGCCGUCCGUUCGGCGCUAGGAUCUUCUUUGAUUUGGAUCACGACGAGUACGACUCCAUCAACCCCGUUCUCUUGAACGCUUCCGCUCGUGAUCUACAAGGGUAUGUAGAUGCACUCCUCUCUCCUUCAUUGCUAGAUGACUCCAUAGAUUGAUCUUGGUGAUGCAUAGAAAAUUUUAAAAUUCUGCUUCGAUUCCCAACACUAGCAACUCCCGAGAGGUGGUCGACCCUCCUAGCUUUGUCCAGGAUGCCUGCCAGAGCGUCCACGGCGAGAUUGAAGAGUAGGGGGGUAUCGGAUCCCCUUGCUUCACUCCCGCAGAGGAUGAGAAGAACGGCCCCACAUCACCGUUAAUGUAAAUCGCAGUCUUGGCAGACCGUACCAACUGCAUAAUCCAGUUGCACCAUUUGUCCUCAAAGCCUCUGCGCUGCAUAACGAGCCGCAAGAAAUCCCAAUCUAGCCGAUCAUAGGCUUUCUGGAAAUCCAGCUUGAGGAAGACACUCUUUUGUCCACGCGAUCGUAACUCGUGCACAAUCUCAUGCAGGGACACAACCUCGUCAUGAAUUCGUCUCCCUUUCAAGAAGGCUGUCUGAAGUGGGUGGUUCAUCCUCUCGACUACCAGUCCGAGUCUAAUCGUGCAGACUUUAGAGAAGAUGCGCUCCAGGACGUUGAUAACUGUGAUAGGUCUGAAUUGGCGAAUGUCCGUCGCCCCCAACUACUUAUGGGAUCAGGGUGAUAACACCAAAAUUUAUACGCGCCAUGUCAAAUGUUCCGAUAUAGAAUUCAUGGAACAUUGGCAUGAUCACAGGUUUUAGGACGUUCCAGAAUUUCUGGAAGAAGGCAACCGGCAGGCCAUCCGGCCCCGGCGCCGACCCCGCCUUCAUCGAGGCGAUCGACCUCCCCACCUCCUCCGGCGAGAAUGGGAUAGCGAGAUCAGUGCAUACAUGCUGUUGCUCCGUGCUUGUCCUGCUAGUGCAUCCGUUUUGUUUAAUAUGCACCUUUUUGGACCUUUGUAUCCUUAUUACAGGGAGGGUCUGCGCUCACAGGCUGAUAUGUGCUUUUGGGUUACUAGUAUCUGGAAACCUGUAGUACCUUGAAGACAAUAACGCACGGGUCUAUCACAGCUCGGCUGCACCUGCUUCUGUGUUUGCCCCCCUCUCCUUUCGAUUUGCCCUCCUUUGUGUUACACUGAAUUUUGAUUGCCAUUCCUUUUGGCGUCCAUUCAAGGGAAAAUAUUUUCACUGCCAAAUAGAAUGUCGCAAGACAAAGUAACAUGUACGAGUCGAGACUGUAACUUCUAUAUGCUGCAAACCUGCUGCAAAACAUAAUUCGUAAAAUUCCGAGAGAACAAGCUGCGCAUAACACCAAUCAGGUAUAGUUUAUGAUCUCUCAAUAUGGUGCAGAAUUUGACUCCCUAAAAUUGUUGGAGCACAACAUCAUUAAGUGUCCAAAAUGUGUGACAUCUUAUGAUUCAAAGUUGAAGUGUUUCAUGGUUGCAACUUUUGCACUGUACAAUGGCAAUGUGUAAAACUUUUUGUGUACAUUCUGAGGAUCAGUAAUGGUCAUCCCUCUAAUUUUUUUUACAUGAACCAACACAUCGCUAAACUAUAUUGGAUGGAUUGAGAUUUCUGUUGGACAGGAAGUAAAAUUCUGUGGCAAAUUACAACAAGUUACCUACUGGGGAGCCGAGGUGGUAAUUUCGCUCCAAUCUGCUUCUGCUGUUCGGAGCAGAAAAUUCUUGUUGUAUCUGGGGUGUGGUGGCCUGACAGGAGGUGGACCCCUGUCGGGAUUGAGUUAUCCUCUUUUUCAGAAAAAAAACAUCAAAAAAUAUUACAUGCAGCAUGGUCAGAGAUGAGGUUAAUUAUACGCAACUCAAUGAAAAGGAAAACCAUAUUGACAAUGGGGAAUUACUGUCCAUUAAAAUACGACAGAACUCGGAAACAUUGCCUUGUUAUUUCUCAAAGUAUAGAAAUAAACUAUUUGUGAAAAGGAAGAGAAAUUAACUAUUUGUGAUUACCACCACCAAGGUUUUUAGUUUGGAAAAGAAAACAAUUUUGGAACUCAUCGAAAUAUGUGAAAUUUCAUAGAAAAUUUUAACCAUGACGGCCACUACGGCACUACCGGGUCACUGGAAUAACAAUAUCAAACACAGCACUUAAAAGAACAGUACGAAGUUGCGUGACUUGCGGCCAAUGGAAGGUGGCUGCCGAGAUCAGGGAGACGACUAAUAAUCAAGGCCCCACACAAAUUGAUUCUACCUCCUGGAUCCAUCUUUAAAAGGGAGGAGUCCCAUUCCUUGCCCAUUUCAUUUUCCUCUUGCCACAUGCAAUACUCACAAACACAACUUGUACGCCUGCACAUUUGAAAUCUCGAUUGUUUCUAGUCAUUCUGACUGGCAAAUUAAAAACGAUGAUUAAGUUGUCAGAAAAUAAUACUUGGAUGGCAUUUAUGUCUUGCCUCUCUACUUGUAGGAGCAGGAGGCAUCAGGAAGUUAGGGAGAUCCAAGCAACAAUAUGCCACAACUGAAAUGUCGCCCCCUUUGCAGCCCACUACUAGGAUACGUAGUGCUAAGAAAACAGCCUCUCUUUCCUGGCACAAGAUACUCUCACGUAGCCAAUACUAUGUAAGAGAGACAAUGCAAAGAAGUUUACUAAAUUGCAUUAGAUGACAAAUAUAUUUUAGCCCAUAUUUUUUGUGUAACUUGCUUCAAUUGGACGUUAGAAAAAAAAAUACAUCCAGAAUGAUGGUAGUACCAAUAUGUAACACUAGUUUCUUAUACUAGCUUAUACUUGGAUGUAUCUCUAGGUGAUUUUAGUAAUAUACCCAAACUAAACCUUUCAAACUAUUGCUUUGGGUCUAGCUCAUUUCCUCACUUAAUGGACACCUGGUGGUGAUUGCACAUACAUAUUUUUGGGUUGUCCAAAGUGUAAAUCUACUGAAAAUAACUGGCAACAUAAACAGUGACAUACUCCGGCCUGGUCUACAUAUGAUGGUAGUCACUUUAUAACAUGGUGAGUUAUAUCACUAUUAAGCGACAUUGAAGGAUCGAUCAACAUAUGCAAGUGACUUUUCUCCUUUCUGCUACAACUUAUUACAACAUCACUGGGUCUGUGUACCACAUGAUGGGUGACGUGGCUAACAUUAAGACCGCAGGCGUGACAAUACUUCUACAUCCUCUACUUUUAAAAGCUCAUCCUUUCACUUGCUGCUUUUCCAUUCUUCACUAACCUCCCCGACCCUCUUGCAUGCACUUGCUGACACACUAUGGUGAAACCUAAACGUAUAUCAGAAUGCAGUGGGGAUCAGCUCUAAAGCUUCAAUAGAAAAAUCGUAGUCAAUGUUGCUAGAAGCAUAUAGGAUUAGGAGGCAUCAGAAAAUUAGCAAGACAUGGUGGCAAUGCUCGGAAUUCUGGGAAUGCUAGCGCGGACGCUUCACCAUCUGUCGUACUAGUGAAAAAUUCCGGUGCCGUGGGGUCUGCAUGCCCCUCGUCUGCUGGCCGGUAGCAGCCUUUCUUGCUUUCGUAAUAUGGGUCCGAGUGAAAGAAAGAAGCUGCGGCGGCGUUGUUAUUUCUUUGGAUUAACGACUACUUCUGGUCGAUAAGGGUCGAUCGAGCCAGGUGUAAGGGCCCAGGGUGAAAAUUAUCCUAGACCAAGCAAAAACCCAAUUUAUGCUAUUUUGUCUAACUGUCCAUCAAAACCGUGUCAUUUAGUCAGACAAAAGGAAUGAUGUGCUACUGGAUCAAAGCCCCUGUGACAUUUUGCUCAAAGUAUAAACCGCUCCCUUCCGACCUGAAGACAUGAGAAUAAGUUGAGCAUGUUUAUACACAAUCUGUAAGUAGAUAUGUCCAUUGCAAAUCAAUUGAUGUAUUAUGUGAGGACUACUAUGUGACUUGUAGAUGUUUGCCAGAUUGGAACUUCUAUACGCUGCAAACCUGGCGCAGAACAAAUUCCAUGCAAUUCUUGGAGAACAAGCGACACAUAACAGCAAUCAGGUGUAAGUUUCUGAUGUUUCCAUAUGACUCCCUGCGGUUGUUCCAGUACAACAUCAUCAAGUGUUUAAAAAGGGUGCCAUCUUACAAAUUUUAAAGUGUUCCAUGGUUGCAACCUGUGCUGUCUCUUGCUUAAGGUUGAGUAAUGAUGGCAUUGCGUCUACUUUUUUACUUGGACCAAGACAUCGCAAAGCUUUGUUGGAUGCAAUGAGAUUUUUUUUGAACAAAAGAUUCUGUAGCAAAUCAGGCAACUUACCUACCUGGGGAGCGGAGUUUUUUAAGUUUGCUCGCAUCUGCUUCGGCCGGCGAGUGCAGAUGUUUCUGCUCUACCGUUUGGAGCAGAAACAUCUUGUCGUAUGUGGGAUUCUGGGACCGGAGUUGUCCUCUUUUUCAGAAGAAAAAAACACCAAAACAUAUUACAUGAACAUGAGGUUAGUUAUAGGCUUAUAGCAACUCAAUGAAAUAGAAAACCAUAUUGACAAUGGCAGUUACUGUCCAUUAAAAUAACAUAGAACUAGUUAACAUUGCUUGUUAUUUCUCGAAGUACAGAAAUAAAUAUUUGUAAAGCAUAGAACUAGGAAACCUUAUUGACAAUGGGCAAUUACUGUCCAUAACUUAAAUUCCAUUUUGUUUCUUUCAUAGGACAAGAAUUUCAUCUUUUCAAACAACUAGCUGUCUUGAGGCUUCAUGGCCGGGAACAGGAGGACCUCCUUUAUGUUCUGGGAAUCCGUCAGCAACAUGGUGAGGCGAUCAAUCCCCAGACCCCAGCCUCCGGUCGGCGGCAGGCCAUACUCAAGGGCAGUGCAGAAGGUUUCGUCCAUGGCCAUCGCUUCAUCGUCACCGUCCUGACGAUCCCUGAGCUGCUCCUCAAACCGCUCCCUCUGCACGACCGGGUCAUUCAGCUCCGUGUAGGCGUUGCACACCUCAUGCUUGUUGAUGACAGCUCAAACCUUUCAGUCAGUCCAGGCCGGGCUUCGUCCCUGUGUGACUUUGCGAGUGGGCUCAUGAUCACCGGAUGGUUGAUGAUGAACGUCGGGUUCACGCAUGUCUCCUCCAGGAAGUGCCCGACAAGCGUGUCCAGCAGCCGUGCCGUCGUGUGUGGAAGCGGGCACGUAAUGUCGUACCUGGCACAAGCCUCCAUCAAGUACUCGUUGGCAUCAUCGGUCGACAGAUCCUCCUCCGGUAUGUUGAGAUCGGCCAUGUCCUCCAGUCCCUUGAUCAUGUUGAUCCGCGCGAACGGAGGAGUAAAAUCGAUCUCGAUAGGCGGCUUGUCGGCGCCGUUGGCGUGGUACUGUACCUUGUAGCCGCCCGUGAGCUCCUUCACCAUGCCGCCCAGCAUCUCCUCCGUGAGCUCCAUCAGGUCGUUGUAGUCCGCAUAGGCCAUGUAGAACUCGCACGUCGUGAACUCGGGGUUGUGCGUCAUGUCGAUGCCUUCGUUCCUGAACUGCCUCCCGAUCUCGUACACGCGGUCCAGUCCGCCGAUGACGAGCUGCUUCAGGUAGAGCUCUGGCGCGAUGCGCAUGUACAACUUCAUGUUCAGGUCGUUGUGGUGCGUGACGAACGGCCUGGCGGCGGCGCCACCGGCAACCACGUUCAUCAUCGGGGUGUCCACCUCCAAAAACCCACGCUUGUCAAGGAAGCUCCGGAUGAAGGAGACGACUCUGGCUCGCGCCGUGAAGACGGACCUCACCUCAGGGUUCACCAUGAGAUCGAGGUACCGUCGGCGGUACCGUGUCUCCUGGUCCUUGAGGGCGUAGCUCUCCAUGUUCCUGGGCAUGCCGGGCGCCCACGGCAGCGGCGGCGCGCGCCGGUGCCUAUUAGGCUGCCGCGGCAGCAUGUGCAGGCAGGGCGAGAGCACGACAAACUGUGUAGGGAAUAUGCUGAGCUCGCCUCGGUUGCUUUUACCAGGGAACCCACGCACGUCGACCACGUCGCCAAGCUUCACGCCAGAGUGGAAAGCGGAGAAUUCCUCGGGAGUCUCCAGCUCCGAGGUCCCGGAGUCUGCCAUGACCUGGACCUUGGCGCCGCCGCGGUGGAGGUAGUAGAAGAGGAGGCUGGAGGACGACGUCCUCUUGCUCAUGAUCCUCCCGGCCAGGGACUCGGUGACGUCGACCAGCUUCUCCCCAUCGGCCAGGCCCCUGUACCUGUGGACGUAGUCGGCGACGGAGGCGGUGGGCUGGAAGGCGUGCGGGUAGGGGUUGACGCCGGCGGCCUUCUGCGCGGCGAGCGCGCCGAGCCUGUUGUGGUAGUACUGGGUGGGAUCCAUGCCGUCGUCCGCCAUGGCGCGUGGUGCAAAACUCUCUCCCGUACCGUAGUUGGGGAAAAACAGAGCGGAGACUUUGUUGACCUAGCACCGAUUUCGUGUUCUCGUCGGUUUAUUUAUAUCCAAAACAUUAACGUGCGCAUCAAAGGCGCCUCCUCACGCGUUCGCAUUCCUUGCGCGUUCACAUGUACGACAAAAAAAUGCAUCCAUCAGGCUCCCAUCGUCAUCGCUCAUCCCCGUCUUUACUGUGGCGAAGUAUAAAAAAAAUUCCAUCAGGCUCCCAUCGGCAUCGCUCAUCCCCGUCUUUACUGUGGGAGUGAAUUCCACUUUUUACCCCAUAUUUAUACAUUUGUGACACUAAUUACCCCUUCGAGUGAAAAUUCAUCUAGAAUACCCCUUUUAAAAUCUUUGGACCCUUGUUUUUUGAUGUGUGUCCAUCAGGUAAGGUGUGAGGUGACGCCCUGUAUCCAAAAACAUGUGGACGGCCACAAGGAGUGGAACAGAUAGACAAGAGAAGCUUGGACAAGAUCGCCAAUGAUGCCCUCCGAUCCUUACAGUUUUUUUUACAAAUCAAUGACGCAACAUGCCGAUCCUAUCGACCAUAAACAGACAAAAUGUAAAACUGGGGUAAAACCGUGUUAAAAGUCUCCAAAAUCUGACAUUUCGAUAAAAGUUCCGCUAAAUAGGGUAAUAUGUGUCACAAAUGUACAACUACAAGGUAAAAAAUGGAAUUCACUCUUACUGUGGCGAAGUAUAAAAAAACUAGCGAUGGAUCCCUUCCUUCCCUUGGAAGGUAACUUCUACUUUUCUUUCGCCCCACAUCGUCACAUCAGCUCUCGCACGCAACCUCCAAAGCCGCGGCCGCCGCCGUCUCAGCCAUUUCUCUCGUCUGCUCCUCCCCUUUCCCCUGCCCUAGCCUAUUUCUAGCCCUCCGCCUCUCCCUUUCUUCCUCGAGUACGGCAGCGGAAGGGGGGCCGCGACGGGAGAGAGGUUCUCCACCCCUGACAGACGACGUCACCGCCUCCGACCUCGGCCUCGUCUGCAGCAGCAGGACGGACCUCUGGCCGUGUUUCUCUGUCUCGCUGCUCAUCCUCCGGGAGGGGACUCGGAAGGAGGGUCGUGCUCCUGGUUGGGAUCUCCGUGCUCCCUCUCCUGCGCCUCCAUCUGCGUUCGAUCUCGUCACUGGUGAGUAGUGCUCUGCUCAGCGUGGGGAUGACCUAUGAGAUUCUUAGUUUGAAUUCUGAUGUGAAUGAGUAGUGCUGUGCUCAGCGUGGGGAUGACCUAUGAGAUUCUUAGUUUGAAAUCUGAUGUGAAUCUCCUAAAAACCGAUGCAAAUCUGUCUUGAGAACAUGACCUUCGAAUCACGGAACCUUGAGAUUUUCUGAAGCUUUAUUCCCAAGCCUGAAAAUGACUAGCUGGCUAGGUUAAUCAUCGCUCUAAGGAAAUCAAAAUCGUCUAUGGGAAUGGCCCCUCUGAAUGUUCUGAACCAUCCCUUGAUGCCGUCUCUAGGUCCGUCCAGGCCCUGCCGUCCACUUGCUGACUUCUUCUUGGCGCAAUGGGUUGAGUACGUUGGUCUGUGUUGGUCGCGAGUUUUGGUCUUGUUGUAGAGGUCUUCGGCAGCGGUUGUGACGCGGCUCGGUUGCUCUGUGGCUUGCCCAAUCGCCAUCGGCAUGAGGUUGGCCUAGGUGAAGCAAGUAUUGUAGUACGCGUGGUGGGUGUGUUUGGUGGAUGUGGAUGCUAAUUCCUGUGAUUGGCAUUGUAAUGGCCGAAAGGCAUUCUAUCCGGCUUCUUUGCCGCUUCUUCUUUAACAUAUGAUACGCAUGCUCAUGCGUAUUCGAGAAAAAUGUUCUGAACCAUCCCAACCCAUAUAAAGAAAAUGUGGGAGCGGGACGGCGGGAUCUGCUCCAGACGGUGCGGGACGCGCUACUGUCGCUCAUGCAGCAUAACGACGUCGACCUGAUCUUGUGGAGGGCGGGUGAAUUAUUUCUGUUCUUUAUUUUUUUCCCUAUUCUUAACAUUGGCAAACAAUCUCAGGAUUUCGCACAUGUGCAAUCUUCACACUCAAUAAUUUCUUGAUAUAGAGUCGAACCAGAACAUGUAUUAAGGGACCAUGACAUAUCUAGCAUCGGUAUCUGAAGAUGGCAAGAUCUGGUUAUGGCAUCUGACUUUUGAGAAGUCAGUAUCUUCCAAGAAAAUUAAUCCUGCUCGGCCUCUUCGCGUGGUUCGUUGAGUGCUGGGUCGUGCCAUUGUCUAACUGGGUGCCCCUCGCGGCCGCCGUCUGGGCGAUCAUUCAGGUAGCUGUUGUUUCUUUCCCCUGUGUUGGUCAGAUCAUAAAUGGAUUCAUAGUUCGUUUGAUGCCAUCUUACUUCUAGUAUAGCAUGUAUAAUGUCUUAUCUUGGGCAUUCACAUGAUACUUUGUAAUUUCUGAAAGAGAAACAGAGUGUGAACUAUAGCUUUUUAUUUGUUAGGAAAUUCUGAUAUGUUUUGUUUUGUUAAGUGCUAAUAAUGAUUUUGAAAGUGAGAUUAGCAGCAAACAACAUUUUAUCUAGGCCCCUAAUGGUUCUGUUUGUCUUCUUAGUUCUCACCCUUUUGUAUCCGUGAUGCAGUAUGGGGCUGUAGAAGAUUUGAACAAAAGAUGGAAGCACCAUAUACUGAACACAACAGUAAAGUAUGUGCUGUUUCCUUGCUCUAUUUACGUUAUUGUUUGUUUAUGGAGAUAGUCAUGCUCAUUUUACCUCUAUAGUACCUUACAACUCCAAUAAAGCCUUGGGAGGGGUUGAACAAACUUUUGAUUGAAGUUCGGCCCAACUACAUGGAACCGAAACUAUCAAGGAAGUUCCAAUCUACUGUCGAGGUGAGCUUCUGCCUGAAAUUAUAUUUCGUGCUUGGAUGCAACUUAGUAGUUGGUAGUUCAAAAGGUUUCGCAAAUAACAUUAGAUUAUACUAUAUGCAUUUGAUCCAUGGAAGUUGAUUAUGUAGAAUCAAAUCAUUUCAAAAUUCCUUUUGAUUUUGUUGAUUUGAGGUAGACAGUACACCUGCUGCAGUGGACUUCGUCGUCUCAUCGGCAUGCUCGCCCGCGACAGUACACCUGCUGCAGCUCCGGUGAGGCGCUGGAGCUCAUGGCGGCGCUCACGGCGGUGUACCUCAUACUGUACCUCAACUAACAUAUUGAUCUUCUACUUCUUUUCUCAUCAAACUGGGAAUCAUACUAUUCUCUUUCUGUCCAGUAAGCCCCACUAAUCACUACACUACUAGGAAAAGGCAUGCUAGUGGCGCACCGAAUUUGCCUUCUAAUGGCGCACUACCGGUGCGCCACUGGCAUCACGCCAUUAGAAUUAAAUUCUAAUGGCGCACCACCGGUGCGCCAUUAGUAUCUGGUGUUCUAAUGGCGCACCACGUAGUGUGCCAUUAGUAUAGCAUGCAGUGCGCCAUUAGAAUGCCUUCCAGGGGGCCAUAUGUACCCAUGUGCUUUGGCAUUCUAAUGGCGCACCAGCAGUUAAUGCGCCAUUAGUGUGAUGAUCACAGUGCACCAUUAGUGUCUUGUGUGGUGCAGCAUUAGUAUGAAUAUUAGGUUUUAUUUUUUUUGCUUUUCUUAUUUUUGCACAGGUUACAAAAUAUAUUAUUGGACAGAAUAUAGACAGCAGCACACAGCAACAUCAGAUUCAUCGAAUACAAUAGAAGAUUAGUCUCCGAAUACAAUUCAUCAUAUUAGUCUCUGAAUUCAAAAGACCGAACAAAGAUAAAACAUUACAAGUCUCAAGACCGCGAGUAUCGAGUUUGCCUUCACAUUACAAGUCGAUAUCGAUCAUCUAAACUACCAUCACAUAGAAGAGAGCUGUGGUCAUCACGAUGAGCAUCAUCGCGAUCAAACUGGUCUUCAUCCGGUUCCUCCAACGCUCCCUCCUCUCUCCCUCUAGAUAGCGGGCGUAUCUACAUUCGGCCUCCGCCCUAGUGGUGUACCCUUUGUAACUGUUACCGCUGAAACGGUGAACCUGUCUCCGACACUCCUCCCAGUCGUCGUAGACUCCGGGAACCUUACCCUUGUACAUGACAUACGACGACAUCUCUAUGCACAAGCCAAACAACAGACAAUACAUAAGCAAUAUGUAAGUAUGCAACAAAAGGAUCGGAAGAGAAAAGGAAGACAUUAAUAGCACGAUUCAUGGUCCUACUAAUAAAUAGCAUUGAUUACAUCUAAGUUGAACGACUGUCCAAACCAAAGAGACAUACGAAUUCAUUAAAGUAUAAUUACAACAUGAGUCAAUCAAUGUUUCAGAACUACACAUCACUACUUUCGACUCGACUCAUCGGACAGGAACGUGGAUGAAGCCGCCGUCUGUCGUGAUGGUCAUGAAAUCGCGGUCGUUGUCACCCUGCAUUUGUAGCAUUUCAUCUAUCUCACUGUUGGACGGUUGAUAUCUGAGGAAGAACUGCCCCGAGGUAUGAACGACAUCUUGAUCGAUGAUGUCCGCAAACUCCGACUGGAUGCGAAAGAAUUCUUAUCUGAGGUCCGCAUCCUGGACUGCCGACAAGCUCGCGGCCCAAUCUUUGAGAUUAUCUGGUAGCAGAAGUUGAUGAUGGUCCCUUACGAUCGCCCGCAUGUGAUGGAGGGUGUAGUAGGCAUCCUUCUGACCGCCAGGCGGCUGCUUGACGCAGCAGAACUUCGUAUUGUGUGAGAACAUGUGCUUGCCGUACUUACGAACUGCCCUGGUAAAGGUGCCUCCAGAUCUGGCGUAGGCGGGGAGAACAUCAUCAAGAACUUUCUUGACAUUUGUGUAGUCUAUCUUGGAGUUACGGUUCGGGUCUAAAUACGUGGCCAUGGAAUAUUUCGGGCUUAAGAGAAUGAGUGUGCAAUGUGUGUCACUGCACAGAACACGGAAUGUUAGAAAAAAACGAUCGAAAUAUAAGAAAUCAUAUGUUACGGGGCGGUUAAGGGAUGACUUACUUGGGAAAGUAAGCCACAAGGAAGUUAUCCUUAUCUGGGUUUGCCAGAAUGACGCCUUCGAGGUGUGAACUUGCAACUUGGCGGUCCCCAGCACUGCUCAAGUGCUUGGCACGCAUGUAGAAGGGGUCGACUAUCACGAUGUCUGGGGUCUUGUCUCUAAUGAUCCGCAUCUCCAUACUCAGCGAAAAUAGCCGAACGAAGGUGUAAUGCAGCGGAUGAAGGUUAAAAAUAGCAAAGAUUUCAUCAAACCACAGGACCCCCGAUGUCGCCAUCCACAAAGCCCUUGCCCUCUGGCACCUUGGCCACGAAAACCGGGUAUGCCACAUCCUUCUCUCUGAGACGCCGCUUCUCCAAAGAAAGAACACUGUCGUGCAGACUCCGCAUAGCACCGGUUGCAGCAUUCAGCAUAUUUGGCGGUAGCAUCGCCCUACCCGCCACAUGCACCCUCCUCGAGAUAUCCUUAGGUGAAGGUGGCCCGUCCUGAGCACGGAUCGAACUCGGUGCCGGCUGGCUCGCACCGGCGCCCUUGUUAGUCUUUCAUUUCCGUCCCUUCUUCUUGAUCUCCUGUAAUGGGACCGAGUUCUGCUCACAGACCGCCUUCUUGAGCAUGUUGGGGCUGAUAAUAUUUCACACCUCAGCUAUCUAAGGCUCGGUGAAGGCGGGAGCUGGAGGCGUGUCCUGAGAACUGAACGCCAGACGACGCUUGUUGCAAUUGGAUUUCUCCGCCGUACCAGCUAGAUCGCGGUCAUCUUGGUUGGGUUCUUGAGAAAGAAGCCCGCAGAACUCGUCAGCGUACCCAUGUUCGGCAAAGUACUUAUCAACUUUGGUAAAUGUACCGUCGUCGUUGUCGUCGCCGUCCGGAUCCUGUGCCAUAGGGCUGUCCGGAUCCUGUGCCAUAGGGAUGUCUGGCAGGUCCGGUAGCGUUGCGGCGUUCUCGCCAUGGCUUGGCGCCGGCACGACUGGCGGUCUUGUCUGUGGGGUGGUGUCCCCCGCCCCCAAACGAAUCUGGCUCUUCGGCCAAAGCAGGGGCCAGUUUACGCAGGUGCUGAGGGUCAUCUCAUCUUCUUCGUCGGCCCCAGCGGGUCGGAUCGGAGGUAACAGCUCGUCGCAGCCUGGCAGCACCCGAACCACUUCAACCCUAUAGAUUGUGGGUUGCAUCGGAUUACCGUGGAACGUGGGGUUGCCCGGUUGAACGAUUCUGCCCUUGGCGACAUCGACCAACUCGGCGCCCAUGAAGUGCAGAAGAGUGCAAGGAACGUCGGCGGUGCCCUGCGAAAACAUGUACAGGGCAUCAGGGAUGUCAAGUCAAAGGCAAGGAGAUGAAGUCAUCAGCCGAGAGGCUUAGUUACCGUGAUGCCGUCGAGCUCGGCUAAUGUCGAGGCACCGCCAACGGCGGGCGUGCAACUGACGGAGGGGGCACUUGCUGGCGAGGUGCUGGCCGGCGUACACCCGGGUGCAUUAAGCUCCAAUGCCCAUGCCGGCGCCGGAGACACGAAUACCGCCUCCGCCGAAGACACCAAUGGAGCCGCCUGCGCGCUGUGCGAGUUGCUGGCCGUGAAGCUGGGAACCGGGGGAGGCCCCUGUUGGCUGCCCGCAAUCCACGCCGUCAGCCCAUGAAUCAACGUAGGCACCAUGGCGUUGAGCGUCGUCCCAAGUUGUUGUUGCACUUGCUCUUGGACAAGCUCCGGAAUCCGCGCCACUUGUGCCUUGAGUUCUUCAACCUCGCGCGUCUGGCUUUCCGAGCUGGUCUUUUUCUCCUUCCGCACACCGGCGGUAUAGUAUGACCCCCAUUUUGUGGACAAGCCUUUGCCGGCCACACGACCAACUGACGUCGGCUUAGUGAGCUUAUCCUUAUUUUUCAUUACGAUCAGCGCCCUAUUUAAAGGGGUGUCGAAAGGGGAGCUCUUAGACGAACCCGCGCUACUGCUUUCAGUGUCCUGCGAAAGGAAUGUGAACCAUUUAAAAAUAUUGGGGAUUAAUUAGAGUGCAACCAUAUUGGGGACUCGGAAGGAGGGUCGUGCUCCUGGUUGGGAUCUCCGUGCUCCCUCUCCUGUGCCUCCAUCUGCGUUCGAUCUCGUCACUGGUGAGUAGUGCUCUGCUCAGUGUGGGGAUGACCUAUGAGAUUCUUAAUUUGAAUUCUGAUGUGAAUGAGUAGUGUUGUGCUCAGCGUGGGGAUGACCUAUGAGAUUCUUAGUUUGAAAUCUGAUGUGAAUCUCCUAAAAACCGAUGCAAAUCUGUCUUGAGAACAUAACCUUUGAAUCACGGAACCUUGAGAUUUUCUGAAGCUUUAUUCCCAAGCCUGAAAAUGACUAGCUGGCUAGGUUAAUCAUCGCUCUGAGGAAAUCAAAAUCGUCUGUGGGAAUGGCCCCUCUGAAUGUUCUGAACCAUCCCUUGAUGCCGUCUCUAGGUCCGUCCAGGCCCUGCCGUCCACUUGCUGACUUCUUCUUGGCGCAAUGGGUUGAGUACGUUGGUCUGUGUUGGUCGCGAGUUUUGGUAUUGUUGUAGAGGUCUUCGGCAGCGGUUGUGACGCGGCUCGGUUGCUCUGUGGCUUGCCCAAUCGCCAUCGGCAUGAGGUUGGCCUAGGUGAAGCAAGUAUUGUAGUACGCGUGGUGGGUGUGUUUGGUGGAUGUGGAUGCUAAUUCCUGUGAUUGGCAUUGUAAUGGCCGAAAGGCAUUCUAUCCGGCUUCUUUGCCGCUUCUUCUUUAAUAUAUGAUACGCAUGCUCAUGCGUAUUCGAGAAAAAUGUUCUGAACCAUCCCUACCCAUAUAAAGAAAAUGUGGGAGCGGGACGGCGGGAUCUGCUCUAGGCGGUGCGGGACGCGCUACUGUCGCUCAUGCAGCAGAACGGCGUCGACCUGAUCUUGUGGAGAGUGGGUGAAUUAUUUCUGUUCUUUAUUUUUUUCCCUAUUCUUAACAUUGGCAAACAAUCUCAGGAUUCCGCACAUGUGCAAUCUUCACAAUCAAUAAUUCCUUGAUAUAGAGUCGAACCAGAACAUGUAUUAAGGGACCAUGACAUAUCUAGGAUCGGUAUCUGAAGAUGGCAAGAUCUGGUCAUGGCAUCUGACUUUUGACAAGUCAGUAUCUUCCAAGAAAAUUAAUCCUUCUCGGCCUCUUCGCGUGGUUCGUUGAGUGCUGGGCCGUGCCAUUGUCUAACUGGGUGCCCCUCGCGGCCGCCGUCUGGGCGAUCAUUCAGGUAGCUGUUGUUUCUUUCCCCUGUGUUGGUCAGAUCAUAAAUGGAUUCAUAGUUCGUUUGAUGCCAUCUUACUUUUAGUAUAGCAUGUAUAAUGUCUUAUCUUGGGCAUUCACAUGAUACUUUGUAAUUUCUGAAAGAGAAACAGAGUGUGAACUAUAGCUUUUUAUUUGUUAGGAAAUUCUGAUAUGUUUUGUUUUGUUAAGUGCUAAUAAUGAUUUUGAAAGUGAGAUUAGCAGCAAACAACAUUUUAUCUAGGCCCCUAAUGGUUCUGUUUGUCUUCUUAGUUCUCACCCUUUUGUAUCCGUGAUGCAGUAUGGGGCUGUAGAAGAUUUGAACAAAAGAUGGAAGCACCAUAUACUGAACACAACAGUACAGUAUGUGUUGUUUCCUUGCUCUAUUUACGUUAUUGUUUGUUUAUGGAGAUAGUCAUGCUCAUUUUACCUCUAUAGUACCUUACAACUCCAAUAAAGCCUUGGGAGGGGUUGAACAAACUUUUGAUUGAAGUUCGGCCCAACUACAUGGAACCGAAACUAUCAAGGAAGUUCCAAUCUACUGUCGAGGUGAGCUUCUGCCUGAAAUUAUAUUUCGUGCUUGGAUGCAACUUAGUAGUUGGUAGUUCAAAAGGUUUCGCAAAUAACAUUAGAUUAUACUAUAUGCAUUUGAUCCAUGGAAGUUGAUUAUGUAGAAUCAAAUCAUUUCAAAAUUCCUUUUGAUUUUGUUGAUUUGAGGUAGACAGUACACCUGCUGCAGUGGACUUUGUCGUCUCAUCGGCAUGCUCGCCCGCGACAGUACACCUGCUGCAGCUCCGGUGAGACGCUGGAGCUCAUGGCGGCGCUCACGGCGGUGUACCUCAUACUGUACCUCAACUAACAUAUUGAUCUUCUACUUCUUUUCUGAUCAUACUGGGAAUCAUACUAUUCUCUUUCUGUCCAGUAAGCCCCACUAAUCACUUCUCAUUACUCUUUCUAUCCAACGUGGCAUGUGAGAGCGGAGGAUAGAGGUUGCCACGAAAUACCCAACCAAUGCACUUGUCGAUCGUCUUGCUCUUAUUAGGUAGUCGUUUCAAUGAAAGUAUAUCUGCCGCCUGUUCAUUUUUCAAUUCACUUUCAAUAGACAGUUUGCAUUAUUUGUUUUAUUUGUGGGAGUUGAAGCAAAGAAUUUGUUAUGUUUCCUUAUGCUGUGAAUCUGAAGUGUUUCUUGCUAACUAAGAACCCUGCACAGCUAGAUGCUGCACUGUCGGCCCUCAAUCCUUGGAUAUUGGGAAGUUUGAAGAAGCAUGUGGUGUAGGUAUGUUUUGCAAUCAAUAUAUAUAUUUACAUGCUUCUGCAAAUUAUAAAUCAUGUAUCCGCAUGUGGUGUAGGUAUGAUUUGAUAAUGUGGUUGUUUGGAUGCAAAAAGAAUAAUAAAUCGAUGCACAUUUUUUAUGAUCAGACGUGGAACGGCCAAUGUUUUGUAAUGGAGUAGCAUCAUUAAUGCCCAAUUGGACCUUUUUUUUGNNNNNNNNNNNNNNNNNNNNNNNNNNNNNNNNNNNNNNNNNNNNNNNNNNNNNNNNNNNNNNNNNNNNNNNNNNNNNNNNNNNNNNNNNNNNNNNNNNNNNNNNNNNNNNNNNNNNNNNNNNNNNNNNNNNNNNNNNNNNNNNNNNNNNNNNNNNNNNNNNNNNNNNNNNNNNNNNNNNNNNNNNNNNNNNNNNNNNNNNNNNNNNNNNNNNNNNNNNNNNNNNNNNNNNNNNNNNNNNNNNNNNNNNNNNNNNNNNNNNNNNNNNNNNNNNNNNNNNNNNNNNNNNNNNNNNNNNNNNNNNNNNNNNNNNNNNNNNNNNNNNNNNNNNNNNNNNNNNNNNNNNNNNNNNNNNNNNNNNNNNCAACUAUUAGUGAAUUGUCCUGCCUGUGAAUCCAAUGGAUUGUACAGUGGACCUACGACAUUGUACUAUAAUUGUUCUCGGAAUGUUCUAAAUGUUUGGUGCUUGAUAAAUAUAAAACUUCUAGGCCCUUUCCGAAUAAAUUUCAGUAGUCAACAGUGUAAGUGUUCUAAAAAAAGUCAGAGGACCAACCGAUGGCCUAAAGUUACAUAUAAUCAACAUUUCAUGUUCUCUAUUACAAUAACAGUGUUUAAAGAAAUAGUAAUACUAGAGUUGGAAAGCAUAAUGCCCAAACACUGUUCGUUCUGCUAUAUGUCCCUUCUUUCAGUCAUAAGGUUUAUACAUGUAUUGAUUUAACAAGAUUAGAUUCACAGUUAGUUCUAAUGGUGUGACAUGGAUUGUGUUUGUGAUCUUCCAGUUUUCCUGUUUCUUCCAUGCAUGUGAAGGACUCAUAUCUUACAACCUGAAAACUGAAUGUACGUCGUACAAAGGCAGCUUGGCAGUUGUGGCGCUCUUAUAUAGUAAAAAUGUUAUUUGGUGAAAAGAAACAUAGCCUGUGCAGUAAUAAAAAUAAAUACGCUGAUCCACUUCAUUUCUGAGAUAAAUGAUUAGUGUUCAGAUAUAAGAGGAGAUCAUUUGAAUUCGUCUAUUGCAGCUACAAAUCAAUGAACAAUUUCAAAAAUGGAGCUGCACUAUUGUUUAGUAUUAGCCUUCACAAUCUUUUCUUAGACAACGUUUGAUUCUGCAACACAACUCCACGCUGUGACAAGCAUUUCACCAAUGAACACGUUUUACAAAAAAUAUCACCGGCCAAGCUUUAUUGAUUAGGGUUUAGCAUAACCGGAACACAAAGAACUUUAAAAUUGUGAAAUCCAACGUAUUCUGCAGCGGGCGUUCUGGACGGCAAGGUGAUUGUUGAGGCCUCAUAUGGAGGCAUGACCUUGCUGUUCAAUUUGCAGAUGGUGCCCACCGACGCUGCUACCUCCGGAAGGUCGCAGAGGAGGCCACCCGAGCUGGACGACGCACUACCAGAAUAACGGCCGCUGCCGACGGCCUUCUCUACGCCGACGGCUCCCAUCGGCAUAGAUGGUGGUAUGCCGACGGCCGCGGAAAGACCGUAGGCGUACUAAAGACGUCGGCAAACCUCCAUAUAUGCCGACGGGGGCCGUCGGCGUAGGAAGGCCGUCGGCGUAUAUUCCACUAUGCCGACGGGGGCUGUCGGCAUAGAGCCGCCGUUGGCACACAGGUGGGUCCGCCGACCCAGGUCCAAUCGGAGGGUCGACGCCGUCACCUCUAUGCCGACGGCCUUGACGGAGGCCGUCGGCAUAGCUUGUACAUUUUUUUUAUUCGGCAAAAAAUCACGUGGGCUUUCUAUGCCGACGGGGAUACCAUCGACAUAUAUAUUAUAUGUUUUUUAUUUCUCAUUUUGCAUUUUUUUAUUAAACUUUAGAUUUGAUUAAUUUAAAUCUAAUUUAUAUAAACUUAAACAUACACAAAUUAUAUAUGAAAUUGGGGCAGAAUUUUCCAUGGAUUAUGAAUAUCCUGUUUGUUUUUACUUUUGAUUAUUUUGAAAUUUAACUUCAUGUAAUUUUGCAUAUAGGUCCUUAUACUUAGUAAAAAUCACAAGUAAUUGAUACUUCACUAGAUUUGGAUAACUUUUAAAUGAUUUUCUUAUCAUAAUCUCGCACCGGGACAUGAUGCGUGUGUGAAUGUGUUGUGACAUGCGUAGACGCCCUUCUUGGGCUUCGAGGUGUGCCCCCCUCCCCCCCUUCACGGACGGCAGUGCCGCCAUCACUUUGAGUGGGAAUCGUGCGCGUCGGGUAGAACCGGAGGGAAUCUAGUGGUGGGUUGGGUCCAGGCCAUGUUCGGGGAUGUUUCUAUGGGCUGACCUAUCGCAACCAGUGGAAGAGUCCACUAGUCAAAGACCGCCAGGAGAAAGUCAAAGGCCUAGAUCUCCUGGUCAACGAGGCUAGGGUUAGUCCGGUCAGUGGGGCUUCGAGGUGUAGCUAUGCCACCGAAACACCGUACCGGGUCCCGAUGCGUGUGUGAAAGUGAUGUGGCAUGCAUAGACGCCCGUCUUGGGUCUUCGAGGUGUUGCCCCCCUCCAUGGACGGCUGUCCCGCCGUCACUUGGAGGGGGAAUCAUGCGUGUCGGGUAGAACCGGAGGGAAUCUAUCAGUUGGGGAGGUCCAGGCCGUGUUCGGGGAUGUUCCUAUGGGAUGACUAUCAGGGCCAUCUCCAAAAAUUUGGGGCCCCGGGGCAAAAAUCAAAAUAGGACCCUAAAUUUACAUUAGGGUCGAACUAAAUAAUCACAAAAUACAUAUAUGAUGAUUUUCCAACAACCAAAAAAAUCAAGGACUACUGAGUUCAAACUUAAUUGUGUCCUAAAUCUAGCCUCGUUCGGCACUUCCCACCUAACCUAAUCAAAACAAAUGAACUUAUUACCUGAUAGUGGAAGACCAGAGGUGAUGGCGCUCGUAAUUGACAGGCCGUGGGCGAUCGACGGAUGCCGAAGCAGGCAGGCAUUCAGGUAGAUCUGGCACCGUAGUCUCUGGUGGGCGAUCGGAGGAAGCAAAACCAACGGGCGUUGUUGGGGCCUGUUAGCAAUCAGUGCACUAUGGCAGAAAAACGAUCGAUUGAUCGAUUCUCUAGACCUCAUGGGCCUGUUAUACAUGCUGUUUUGGGCGAAAGGCUCAUGAGCUUUAUUUUUCCUGAUUUUAAACCUACAGCUAAUAGACUAAUACUUAGUGAUUAGGGGCCCCAAAUAUUUGGGGGCCCUGGGCGGUCACCCACCUCGGCCCCCUCCAUCGACGGCCCUGAUGACUAUUCACAACCAGUUGGAAGAGUCCACUGGUCAAAGCCCAUCCGGCGAAAGUCAAAGGCCUAGAUCUCCUGGCCAAGGGGCUUCGUGGUGGCCUUCCGGUUGUGGCAAUGCCACCAAAAUAGCGCACGCGGUCUUGAUGCAUGUGUGAAAGUGACGUGGCAUCCAUAGACGCCCAUCUUGGGUCUCCGGGGUGUUGCCCCCUCCACGGAUNNNNNNNNNNNNNNNNNNNNNNNNNNNNNNNNNNNNNNNNNNNNNNNNNNNNNNNNNNNNNNNNNNNNNNNNNNNNNNNNNNNNNNNNNNNNNNNNNNNNNNNNNNNNNNNNNNNNNNNNNNNNNNNNNNNNNNNNNNNNNNNNNNNNNNNNNNNNNNNNNNNNNNNNNNNNNNNNNNNNNNNNNNNNNNNNNNNNNNNNNNNNNNNNNNNNNNNNNNNNNNNNNNNNNNNNNNNNNNNNNNNNNNNNNNNNNNNNNNNNNNNNNNNNNNNNNNNNNNNNNNNNNNNNNNNNNNNNNNNNNNNNNNNNNNNNNNNNNNNNNNNNNNNNNNNNNNNNNNNNNNNNNNNNNNNNNNNNNNNNNNNNNNNNNNNNNNNNNNNNNNNNNNNNNNNNNNNNNNNUAGGCCGUGUUCGUGGAUGUUCCUAUGGGCUGACCUAUGGCAACCAGGUGGAAGAGUCCACUGGUCAAAGCCCGUCCGACGAAAGUCAAAGGCCUAGAUCUCCUGGUCAAUGGGAAUAGGGUUAGUCCUGUCGGUAGGGCUUCAAGGUGUAGCAAUGCCAUCGAAACACCGUACCGUGUCCCAAUGCAUGUGUGAAAGUGAUGUGGCAUGUGUAGACGCCCUUCUUGGGUGUCCGGGGUGUUGCCCCCCUUCACGGACGGCAAUGCCACCGUCGCUUGGAGGGGGGAUCGUGCGUGUUGGGUAUAGAACCGGAUGCAAUAAAUGUCUCAAAUAUUCCAGGCGGGCCCGAAAAAUGCCAUGUCUUGGCACAUGUCAUGUAAUGCCCCCCUUUGAGAGAAAGACAAGUUUCGAGGUCAAUGGAGCAACGGGUAGCACACUUCCUUCACAAACCGGACACAUUCCCUCUUGAUAGCCAGAUACUACCACUACAGGAAACAGGUAAUUUGCCGUCUGUGGAUCACAGACGGCAAAGACCCAAAUCCAGACGGCAAAGAUUUUGCCAUCAGGAAGCAGACGGCAAACUCAGACGGCAAAGAAUACUUUGCCGUCUUCCUUUUAUCGAGAUGACGGCAAAGAAUUUGUCGUCAGUCAAUUCGGUUUUGCCGUCUGUCGCAAAAAUAACAGACUGCAAAAAAUGUGUUCUUUGCCAUCAGUCAAAACAUGUGCUUUGCCGUCAUCCAGACUAAAGUACAGACGACAAAGAUUGUUUUUCAUUUUUUUUAAAGUGACAUCCUAGCAGAGCAUCUCACCGGAACCAGGAACAAAAAACCAAAACAGGUUACAGAGAAGUUACAAGAGCUGUCCUAAAAUUUACAGAGAAGUUACAAUGGAUUCAGCACGGCCUUGUUGUCUUGCAAUCAUCGUUGGUGGUUACAGAGAAGUUACAAGAGUUGUCCUAAAAUUUACCCAAGGACCCCUAGAAACUAAAAAUGAAAAUCAAUCAAGUCCUCCAUGUCCUCCAUCACAGCAACAUGUACUUCACCACCGGCCUUCCUUCUUCUCGCCAUGUGCUCGCUGGAUCCUGGAGAGAGAGGGGGGGCACUGUUGCGCGCCAGUGCAGCGUCGGGCGGCUGAUGCCGGAGGGAGGAGGCCACCGCGCGGAGGAGGGAGGACGCCGCCGCGCGCCCGAGGGAGGAGGUCGCCGCGCGCCGAAGGGACGAGCCGCCGCGCGCCCGAGGGACGAGGCCGCCACGCGCCCGAGGGAGGAGGACGCCGCGCACCGGAGGGAGGAGGCCGCCGCGCGCUGGAGGGAGGAGGCUGCCGUGCAGAGGAGGGAGGACGCCGCCGCGCGCCGGAGGGAGGAGGCCGCCGCGCGCCGGAGGGAGGAGGCCGCCGCGCGCCGGAGGGAGGAGGCCGCCGCGCGCCCGAGGGACGAGGCCGCCACGCGCCCGAGGGAGGAGGACGCCGCGCACCGGAGGGAGGAGGCCGCCGCGCGCUGGAGGGAGGAGGCCGCCGUGCGCCUGUGCUCGCCACCCGCGGGUCCGCCAUGCUCGCUGCCCGCGCGGCUGGGGGCAGGCAGGAGCGACGGGGGCUGGGGACGAAGGUAGGCAGGGGCGACGGAUGAUGAGCCGAGGCCAGCGGCCGGUGGCGGCGACGGGGGACUCGCGCCGGGGGCCGGUGGGGGCGACGGGGGACUCGCGCCGGGGCCGGCAGGGGUGAUGGGGUCGGGGACGGCGAGGCAGAGGCCAGGAGGAGAGAUGGCCACGGGUCGUGCGAGGCAGAGGUGUUGGGGCGUGGGGGAGAGAGACGUGGGAAUAGUGGUGGGGCGUGGGGUGUCGGAUGGAUAAGGUGGAGAGAGGGCGUGGGACGUGGGGCUGGUGGGUUUUGCUUGGUGGGGAUGUGCGGAGCAGAUUUAGCCAUGUCAGCGAUCCGCGUGAUCCAUCCGUGGACUUGUGUUUUCUCUUUGCCGUAUGUGGUUCUAUUUACAGACGGCAAAGUUCUUUGUCGUCUGCAUUUUAUAUUAAAGACGGCAAAAUGAGCUCUUUGCCAUAUAUAAUAAAAAAGGCAGACUGCAAAGCUCUUUGCCGUCUGUAUUUAUUGUUACAGACGGCAAAGUUUACUCUUUGUCGUUUGUAAUAUAAAAGGCAGACGGCAAAGUCUAUUUUGCCGUUACUUUUUCUUUGCCGUCUGUUAAUGACGGCAAACCCUUUCUUUGCCGUCUGCCCCGACGAAAUGCUGACGGCAAAGAAAUUACUGACGGCAAAUCUCCUGUUUCCCGUAGUGUACCUAGGAGAUGGUGCAAUCUACAAGUGGCUUUCGGUCAGGCUUCUACGAAACACACUCAAACUUUUACUUGACCCUACAAGGAACAUAUGAACAUCGUCCCAGGUCCUGAGGAUUUCAGACAUUGUAUGUUUUCUGUGGAUUUUAACGGCUAGAUCCGGCAUGCCGCCGAGGUACAUUCGCCCCCCGGUGGUGGGCCCAUCCCCUCCUUUUGUUGCACUAGGUAUACACAUUCCGAAAAGACAUCAUAUACGAUUGUACAAACCACUUUUCGACAUCAUUUUAGGUGGCCGCCAUGCAUAUCUGUAAUUUCCCGCAUUGAAACCCUACGGAUGCAAUAAAUGUCUCAAAUAUUCCAAGCGGGCCUGAAAAUGCCAUGUCCUGGCACAUGUCAUGUAAUACNNNNNNNNNNNNNNNNNNNNNNNNNNNNNNNNNNNNNNNNNNNNNNNNNNNNNNNNNNNNNNNNNNNNNNNNNNNNNNNNNNNNNNNNNNNNNNNNNNNNNNNNNNNNNNNNNNNNNNNNNNNNNNNNNNNNNNNNNNNNNNNNNNNNNNNNNNNNNNNNNNNNNNNNNNNNNNNNNNNNNNNNNNNNNNNNNNNNNNNNNNNNNNNNNNNNNNNNNNNNNNNNNNNNNNNNNNNNNNNNNNNNNNNNNNNNNNNNNNNNNNNNNNNNNNNNNNNNNNNNNNNNNNNNNNNNNNNNNNNNNNNNNNNNNNNNNNNNNNNNNNNNNNNNNNNNAGCUAGAUACUACCUCGAAGAUGGUGCAAUUUACAAAGGGCCUCCGGUCAGCCUUUUGCGAAACGCGCUCAGAUUUUUACCACACCCUACAAGGGCUAUAUGGUGACACCAUGCCCGGUCCCGAGGAUUUCCAGUGCCGUAUGAUUUUCCGUGGAUUUUAAUGGUUAGAUCCAGCAACAAGUAUUCAGUAGGGUUUUCACACAAAAAAAUAAUCUUUUUCGGCAAUCAGAAAUUGAAAACUAAAUUUUGCUUGAAAAUAAAAUGAAAACUCCCUUCAUCAAAAUUGUUUUCCAUUCUAAGAUGCACACUUAUACACAAUAUGAUAUCACUAUAACUAUGCCAUGAAUUAGGCCAUAACAUUCGUCAUUUUGCGGAUGUUUUUAUUUAUUUUUAAAUGCAAACAAGGUGUAAAUAAAUAUGAAAUUUUCCAUGGUAUUGGUUUCUUAUUCCUAGAAGAUUUGGAUUUUUUUUAUUUUUUACUAAAUUUUAACAUGAGUAUUUCCUGUUCAAAAAACUGUGCAAAGAAACACAAAAUCUGUGCUGGCUUCCUAUUGGUUGGAAGCAACCUCCCAAGGAUCGGUGACGUGGCAGGGCAGCCUACCCCACCACGACACCAGCCCCACCUCUCCCUCCUUGCCACCUCUCUCCUUCCUCUCUCUCUCGUCUCUCCCUACCCCCGCCGCCGCUGCCUACGCCGCACGAUUCCGGCGUGUUCCGGCGAGCCUCGCCAACGCGCAGCACAGAUCCGAGCCCCCUGCCUCCGCUCUUCCCUUCCCUCCGGCCAGAUGCGCCUCUCGUGGCCCCGAGAGCUCAGCCACGACCCCUUCCGAUGGCUAGGGUUCCGAGGGUGGCGUCCCCUCCAACUCCGGCGCGGCGACGGCGACUCUGCUCCGCCCUCUCCGAAGCCCACCGCAAGUCCCAUGGGCGUCUCCGCCUCGUGGAUGGUACUCCUGCACCCGGUGGCUGCGGGGCGGACGCGCGCAGCGGGUAAACUCCGGCGAGGCGGUGCCUCCCUCCGGCGGCUCCCUCCAUGGCAUGACGGCGGUGCACUGCAUCGGCUAAAGCACCACCAUGGUGAGCCCCUCUCCAUCCUAUGUUCCCUCCGGUUGCUGCCAUGCACAUGACGUGUAUUUUUCUAACUGUACAAUAACACUUACUCCUCUACUGUCACAUACUAGAUGAUUGCUACUAGACUAAUAGAUUAGCCUUGAAUUCAUCUAGUUUGGAUCAAAACAGAACCAUUGAUUAAUACUAGAUGAUUUUUACUGUAAAUUUUGUUACAGAUUUCUUUGAACUAGUUUGAUUCCCUGUUGAUCUAUAUUUUUUACUUAUUCACAUGCUGGACUGAAUUUGCUACUGCUGUUACUCUAGUGUUGAACGAGAUAGGCAUUCUAUUGCUUGUUUCCUUGCUUCCACAAAUUAAAAUUCAGUAAUCUUGUUAACUGCUACCGUUGUCACGAACCACACAUCUGAGAUGAACUUGACAUUGAUUUGCUCCUUUGUCAAGUAUGGAUAGACUUUGCUAUUCACCAGUAUUCAGGCAGUUGAUGUGUGCGUGUUGCUGCAACUGUUAGGACAUUGUUGGAUUGUUAUCACUAGUACUAGUCCUAUCAAAUUGCAUGUGAGUAGUUCAUUACCAUGCUAUCCAGGGGAUAUUCCUUUUUGUGCCUGUGAAUUCGUUCUUGUUGUGUAUAUAUGUAUAUGUGCUAGCAACAUGAGUAGGAUUUAGCAUCAUGCUGGGCCUGGAUGAAUUGCAUGCAUACAUUGAUCCUGGGAGAAGUGUCUGGCUGAUACAAUCCUCUUUUUUACAAAGCUAUUAUAUACUUUGGGAAAUAUAGUAGUUUGUUAUUUACUGCCUGCACUGCAAGUAUGGAUGCUCAUGAUUGCAUGCAUCCAGGGUGAGUCGUACCUAGUUGUUCUUUAUGCAUCUCCAAGUUACUAUUGAAAAAGCUCGCAUAACUAGUUGUUUCUUUUCAGAUUAAACCUGAGACCUCUUUUGUUUUAUCUUGAGAGCUAUGACUGACGGCCAAACCGUUGUUUUUCUGUGCUAGACUCACUCCACAGCUUUGUUUUGUUUUGUGCCACCUGAUCAUUAUGCCAUCCUAUUGAUAUUGAUGCAAUGGAAUUUAUAGUUUUGCUGUCCCCUGAGCUGAGAUGCUUAUCUAGUGUUUAUGGCUUAGUAACUGUCCUCUGAAUUUGAAAUUAUACUAGUAUUGCUCUACACUCAGCAGCUAGCUCUGUUUUGUGGCACCUGUUACUUAUGCCACGGUAUUGUUUCAAUGGAAUCAGUACAAUUUCUUUGCACAUUGGGAUUGCUCUGUUUGCUUCAUAUUAUGGUGUUAAUGUCUUACUAGCUAAUUGUGGCGGCCGUCUGGAUUGUCGCUCAUAGUAUUGCUGGUGGUGGUGCUGUUGUGUAGGUUGACAAAAAUGCUCUGCAUCUUGAGAAGCAAAUAUCUUAAAACUUUGACUUGGAUCUCGACGGCGACGGCAUCCAACGAACACAAGGUCGCUCCCAACCAACAAGUUUUUUUUCUUCCAAGUUAAUAAUGUGGAUUGUGACGUUUAUCUGUGCACUGAUUUUCAGAGUGGAUGGCUGUACCAUUUAAUUUUGAUUACUAGCACUAGUAGUUGUAUUCAGUGUGAGCUGGAAGACUAACUGAUUCAGUUUUCGAAGCCAUCUUUGCUGUUCUGGUUGUGUUUGCACAGCUCACUUGUUGUCAGUGCAGUUCUCUUACACAUAUUUGUUUGUUGGGGUUUAAUUUCUAGAAUC